AGAUGACCAGACAAAAGCUGGCUUGUUUUGCCAAAUCAACAAAAGAAAAUUGACAAGGAAAACUGAAAUUACAAACAUUGUAAAAAAAGCCAGAUCUUUCUUGAAGAAUAAAAAAGCAAUGUUCUGGACUCGAAUAAGGCAU
Eurytemora carolleeae is the source of this 142-nucleotide long non-coding RNA. RefSeq lists it as uncharacterized. The transcript has 3 exons. Lineage: Eukaryota; Metazoa; Arthropoda; Copepoda; Calanoida; Temoridae. The record is from RefSeq and is a predicted model, not a curated record.